AUACUUACCUGGCAGGGGAGAUACCAUGAUCACGAAGGUGGUUUUCCCAGGGCGAGGCUCGUCCAUUGCACUCCGGAUGUGCUGACCCCUGCGAUUUCCCCAAAUGCGGGAAACUCGACUGCAUAAUUUGUGGUAGUGGGGGACUGCGUUCGCGCUUUCCCCUG
Heterocephalus glaber (naked mole-rat) is the source of this 164-nucleotide small nuclear RNA. Its record names the gene U1. It matches the Rfam family "U1 spliceosomal RNA". From Rfam's summary of the family: U1 is a small nuclear RNA (snRNA) component of the spliceosome (involved in pre-mRNA splicing). Its 5' end forms complementary base pairs with the 5' splice junction, thus defining the 5' donor site of an intron. NCBI's taxonomy places the organism in Eukaryota, Metazoa, Chordata, Mammalia, Rodentia, Bathyergidae. The record is from Ensembl.